Molecule: ribosomal RNA, 488 nt
Filed under: Staphylococcus gallinarum
Lineage: Bacteria; Bacillati; Bacillota; Bacilli; Caryophanales; Staphylococcaceae
Description: bacterial SSU rRNA
Rfam family: Bacterial small subunit ribosomal RNA
Source: RNAcentral
GCAGUCGAGCGAACAGAUAAGGAGCUUGCUCCUUUGACGUUAGCGGCGGACGGGUGAGUAACACGUGGGUAACCUACCUAUAAGACUGGAAUAACUCCGGGAAACCGGGGCUAAUGCCGGAUAACAUAUAGAACCGCAUGGUUCUAUAGUGAAAGAUGGUUUUGCUAUCACUUAUAGAUGGACCCGCGCCGUAUUAGCUAGUUGGUAAGGUAAUGGCUUACCAAGGCGACGAUACGUAGCCGACCUGAGAGGGUGAUCGGCCACACUGGAACUGAGACACGGUCCAGACUCCUACGGGAGGCAGCAGUAGGGAAUCUUCCGCAAUGGGCGAAAGCCUGACGGAGCAACGCCGCGUGAGUGAUGAAGGGUUUCGGCUCGUAAAACUCUGUUAUUAGGGAAGAACAUAUGUGUAAGUAACUGUGCACAUCUUGACGGUACCUAAUCAGAAAGCCACGGCUAACUACGUGCCAGCAGCCGCGGUAAUACGU